This 253-nucleotide ribosomal RNA is filed under the name uncultured bacterium. Its description in RNAcentral is "partial 16S ribosomal RNA". It matches the Rfam family "Bacterial small subunit ribosomal RNA", at positions 524 to 776 of the family's 1533-position model. The record is from RNAcentral.
UACAGAGGUCUCAAGCGUUGUUCGGAUUCAUUGGGCGUAAAGGGUGCGUAGGUGGCGCCUUAAGUCGGGUGUGAAAUCUCGGGGCUUAACUCCGAAACUGCAUUCGAUACUGUGGUGCUUGAGGACUGGAGAGGAGACUGGAAUUCAUGGUGUAGCAGUGAAAUGCGUAGAGACCAUGAGGAAGACCAGUGGCGAAGGCGGGUCUCUGGACAGUUCCUGACACUGAGGCGCGAAGGCCAGGGGAGCAAACGGG